GCGGCCGCGGCGCGGUACGCCGCUGCGUACCCGGCGCGGUACGCCUGGUGCGCCACGCGCCUCGUCGUCGUCCCGCUCGACGCGGCCGCC
Molecule: transfer RNA, 90 nt
Filed under: Cellulomonas uda
Lineage: Bacteria; Bacillati; Actinomycetota; Actinomycetes; Micrococcales; Cellulomonadaceae
Description: tRNA-Gly
Source: RNAcentral